UUCUUUGGUUAUCUAGCUGUAUGAGUGAGUUUUACGUCAUAAAGCUAGGUUACCAAAGUU
Non-coding RNA from Stegodyphus mimosarum, 60 nucleotides. NCBI's taxonomy places the organism in Eukaryota, Metazoa, Arthropoda, Arachnida, Araneae, Eresidae. The record is from Rfam.